GACGAACCGUGCGAACGUUAUUCGGAAUCACUGGGCUUAAAGGGCGCGUAGGCGGGCCGGCAAGUCAGGGGUGAAAGCCUCCAGCUCAACUGGAGAAGUGCCUUUGAUACUGCCGGCCUCGAGGGAGGUAGGGGCGUGCGGAACUUCCGGUGGAGCGGUGAAAUGCGUAGAUAUCGGAAGGAACAUCGGUGGCGAAAGCGGCGCGCUGGACCUCUACUGACGCUGAGGCGCGAAAGCCAGGGGAGCAAACGGG
This 253-nucleotide ribosomal RNA is filed under the name uncultured bacterium. Its description in RNAcentral is "partial 16S ribosomal RNA". It matches the Rfam family "Bacterial small subunit ribosomal RNA", at positions 524 to 776 of the family's 1533-position model. The record is from RNAcentral.